RNAcentral lists this long non-coding RNA (227 nucleotides) under Anas platyrhynchos (mallard). Its description in RNAcentral is "lncRNA (ENSAPLG00020007840.1)". Lineage: Eukaryota; Metazoa; Chordata; Aves; Anseriformes; Anatidae. The record is from RNAcentral.
CAGAGACAGGUACCGAAGAGGAGCAGACACAGAUGUAAAGUGUCAGCUUGAGUCUGCAGCCCCAGGAAGGAAAACGCCGUGAUUUUGGGAGCGGAUGAGCUCGGAUUCCGCAGCGAGACGACCGAACCUGGGAGCAGCAACCCCAAAGGCGAGCAGCGUUCACACUCAACCCCAAUGAUUCCCAAGCGAAACCCCCAAACCUCCCGAAGAGCUGGCAGCAAUUCCCC